RNAcentral lists this ribosomal RNA (490 nucleotides) under Phallus multicolor. RNAcentral describes it as "partial large subunit ribosomal RNA". It matches the Rfam family "Eukaryotic large subunit ribosomal RNA", at positions 133 to 618 of the family's 3401-position model. The record is from RNAcentral. Lineage: Eukaryota; Fungi; Basidiomycota; Agaricomycetes; Phallales; Phallaceae.
GCCGUCCGAGUUGUAAUCUGGAGAAGCGUUUUCAGCGCCGGCCCGCGUACAAGUCCCCUGGAACGGGGCGUCGCAGAGGGUGAGAAUCCCGUCUCUGACGCGGUUCGUGCCGGCGCGUUGCGAUGCGCUCUCGAAGAGUCGAGUUGUUUGGGAAUGCAGCUCAAAACGGGUGGUAAAUUCCAUCUAAAGCUAAAUACUGGCGAAAGACCGAUAGCGAACAAGUACCGUGAGGGAAAGAUGAAAAGCACUUUGGAAAGAGAGUCAAACAGUACGUGAAAUUGUUGAAAGGGAAACGCUUGAAGUCAGUCGCGUCUCCCGGGACUCAGUCGCGCCCUCGGGCGCGGUGUACUUCCCGGGUCUGGACGGGCCAGCGUCGAUUUCGACCGUCGUACAAAGGCGCGAGGAACGUGGCACCUUCGGGUGUGUUAUAGCCUCGCGUUUUCCGUAUGCGACGGUGGGGAUCGAGGAUCGCAGCGCGCCUCCNACGGUC